CUCUGGCUUCCUGUUUACGCGCACUGGAGCGAAACUCUGCCGAGCAUUUGUCGACGUUGGGACUGAAAGAAAGAGGUUGCAAUGAAAAUGCAAUUUCCAGACACGUUAACAGGUGCGAAAUGAGACGUUUGGUGAACAAAUGUCAUGUUUAAAGCAGAAAACUGUAUUUAUGCAGCUCAGGAAGCGGAUCGGAGAAAGAAAUCCUUCUGAAGAGGGGAAUGUUUUAUGUCUUUAGUGAAUCCAGGGCUGUGGAUCGUUCAUCACAAAAUUAUUCCAACCAUGAAGCAGAUUCCUUCCAACAGCACGG
Molecule: non-coding RNA, 307 nt
Organism: Poecilia reticulata (guppy)
Lineage: Eukaryota; Metazoa; Chordata; Actinopteri; Cyprinodontiformes; Poeciliidae
Source: RefSeq, a predicted model, not a curated record